This is a non-coding RNA of Schizosaccharomyces pombe (fission yeast), 1746 nucleotides long. NCBI's taxonomy places the organism in Eukaryota, Fungi, Ascomycota, Schizosaccharomycetes, Schizosaccharomycetales, Schizosaccharomycetaceae. The record is from the annotation of a GenBank genome assembly.
CAUUAAUGAGGCGACUCCACUAGCAUCAACUAAACCGGUACGUACGACCUUUAGGGGAUCCAAAACACCAAUUUCAUUUAAAUCAACAAAACGAUCCUUAGCAAUAUCAUAACCGAUGUUAAAUUCCUUGCCAUAAAGCUCCUUAAGUUUACCAACAAUCAAGUUACCCUCUAAUCCAGCAUUUUCAAGAAUGGUUUGAGCGGGACGAGUGAUAGCUUUGCGAACAAUUUCGACGCCAAGCUUUUGAUCAAAGUUAUUUGUAGGAAUGUCUCCUAAGCGAAGACUAGCCUUAACAAAAGAGGUACCAGCACCUGGGAGAACACCCUCGGAAACAGCAGCCUUAACAGCAUUCAAUGCAUCAACAAUACGGUCUUUCUUCUCGUUGACUUCAACUUCACUGGAGCCUCCAACCUUAAUAACAGCAAUACCACCGCUCAAUUUGGCCAAUCUCUCUUGAAGCUUUUCUUUUUCGUAUUCAGUGAGAUUAGGGUCGGCCAUGACACCACGAAUCUGUUCACAACGGUCGUUAACUUUAACAUGGUCACCAGCACCUUUCAUAAUGAUAGUGUCUUCCUUGGUGACAGUUACAGAGCCACAGCUACCCAAAUGAUGGGGUUGAGCCUUUUCGAUGGAAACAUCAAUUUCAUCAUUGAACACGGCACUAUCAGUCAAGACGGCUAAAUCUCCAAGCAUAUUACGACGGUUGUCACCAAAGCCAGGGGCUUUAAUAGCAACAACUUGUAAUUGCCCACGAAGCUUGUUUAAGAUACAAGCAGCCAAAGCUUCACCAUCAACGUCCUCUGCGAUGAUAACUAAGGGACGACGCUGCUGAGCGGCAAGCUCCAAAGAGGGAAGAAUGUCUUGGACAGCAGACACUUUCUUUUCAGAAAGAAGAAUAAGAGGAUUUUCAAAUUCAACCUUUUGUGAUUUGACAUCGGUAAUAAAGUAAGGAGAAAUGUAACCACGAUCAAACUUCAUACCCUCAGUAACCUCUAAUUCGUCGCUUAUUGUGCGCCCUUCUUUGACGGUGAUAACGCCUUCUUUACCAACACGUUCCAUGGCUUUAGCAAGAAGCUCACCGAUAUGAGUGUCACCGUUAGCAGAGAUGGUAGCGACUUGGGAAAUCUCUUCAGAAGUAGUAAUAUCACGCUUAUUGGCUUGCAAAAAUUCGACGACGUUAUCAACAGCAAGUUGAAUUCCCCGGCGAAGGUCCAUAGGGUUGCAACCGGCAGCCACGUUACGAACAGUCUCAGAAAAGAUGGCACGAGUUAAAACAGUAGCAGUAGUGGUACCAUCACCAGCAACUUCAUUAGUCUUGCUUGCAACAUCCUGAACUAGUCUUGCACCAAGGUUUUCGAAUUUAUCUUUCAAACUUACACUACGGGCGACAGUUACACCGUCCUUAGUGAUUUUAGGGGAACCAAAAGGUUGGUCAAUCAAGACAUUACGGCCCUUUGGUCCCAAAGUUACAGAUACGGCACGAGCAAGAGUAUCGACACCGGUGAGUAAAGAUGCGCGAGCAUCAACACCAAAUUUUAAGUCUUUAGCAUAUGUACGAACUUGAGGGACGGCAAAUCUGCCGGGGAUUCGACGACCAGCAAUUCUUAAAGGUAGACGAGAUACACUGGAAGAAAGGAAGCUCACCAUUAUGUUUAAUUAAUGAAAUAAAAUGAAGUUGUAAAAAAUGGUUUUUUUUAAUGCACCCAAAAAGAGAUAUAAAGAAAUGUAAAGUUAUCUAACGCAAAU